GGGGUUGUUACGGAUUCGACAGGUGUAGUUUGAGCAGGGAUUGCGCUUCGCAGGUUACGUCUGCGUUAAAACGUUACAGUUAAAUAUAACUGCAAAACAAAACAAUUCUUACGCUUUAGCUGCCUAAAAAACAGCGGGCGUGAGCGUCUUGGUGUCGCCCAUGCACUCAAGUAACGCUCUCAUUUCAGUGGGAUACGAUAAAUUUUUCCGUCUGCAAAAUUUAUAAGAGAUCAUCAGACUGGCAAUUUGGAACGCGAGUUUUGCCGCGACCCAAAUUGUAAGAAAAAAUAGCAAGACUAUGAGCGUAGAUAUGUUUGUGGCAAUAUGCUUGGACGCGGGUUCAAUUCCCGCCAGCUCCAUUU
RNAcentral lists this transfer-messenger RNA (362 nucleotides) under Pilibacter termitis. RNAcentral describes it as "Standard tmRNA". It matches the Rfam family "transfer-messenger RNA". Rfam says of the family: Bacterial tmRNA, also known as 10Sa RNA or SsrA, is named for its dual tRNA and mRNA-like properties. Its role is to liberate the mRNA from a stalled ribosome. Lineage: Bacteria; Bacillati; Bacillota; Bacilli; Lactobacillales; Enterococcaceae. The record is from Rfam by way of RNAcentral.